AUGUCGCUCAAAGGCUACCACGAAGCCUCACUGCAUCCGCCGGCUGCGUAUGAUGCGGCGGCGGCGACUGUGUGGGACUGGGGGGAAGCCCUCCUCGACAAGUCCGCCUACAUGGUCCACAAAAAAGACCACCAAAAAAACCAUACUUCCGCCCGCUGUACAUUCAAGAGGAAUUUGGACGACGACGGGGUGGUGGAGGUGGAGAUGCAGGUCAGCCUGUUCUUGGCGCCGCCGCCUCGCGUCUCCUACUCCUGCUGCUCCGCCAACCUCACCGAAGACGACCACGGGGAACAACAAGGCACCCCCCGCCUGUUCGUCCGCGAGCCUUGGGUGAUCGCCACGGAGGGUAACCUUGCCCUCCUCGCCCUCUGCCACGGCUACAACCCUGCCUACUACGGCGAAAGCAAUAACUACGACUACUUCCUCUACGAGGCAGCAGCCUCACCGGCGGGGACGCCGAAACUCACCUGCCUCCCUCAAAUCCAA
This 486-nucleotide ribosomal RNA is filed under the name Triticum aestivum (bread wheat). RNAcentral's name for it is "partial small subunit ribosomal RNA". Lineage: Eukaryota; Viridiplantae; Streptophyta; Magnoliopsida; Poales; Poaceae. The record is from RNAcentral.